UACGUAGGGUGCAAGCGUUGUCCGGAAUUAUUGGGCGUAAAGAGCUCGUAGGCGGUUUGUCGCGUCGAAUGUGAAAACCCGGGGCUCAACCCCGGGCCUGCAUUCGAUACGGGCAGACUAGAGUUCGGUAGAGGAGUCUGGAAUUCCUGGUGUAGCGGUGAAAUGCGCAGAUAUCAGGAGGAACACCGGUGGCGAAGGCGGGACUCUGGGCCGAUACUGACGCUGAGGCACGAAGGCGUGGGGAGCGAACGGG
This 253-nucleotide ribosomal RNA is filed under the name uncultured bacterium. RNAcentral describes it as "partial 16S ribosomal RNA". It matches the Rfam family "Bacterial small subunit ribosomal RNA", at positions 524 to 776 of the family's 1533-position model. The record is from RNAcentral.